This 465-nucleotide ribosomal RNA is filed under the name uncultured Peptococcus sp. RNAcentral describes it as "bacterial SSU rRNA". It matches the Rfam family "Bacterial small subunit ribosomal RNA", at positions 338 to 795 of the family's 1533-position model. Lineage: Bacteria; Bacillati; Bacillota; Clostridia; Eubacteriales; Peptococcaceae. The record is from RNAcentral.
CCUACGGGAGGCUGCAGUGGGGAAUCUUCCGCAAUGGGCGAAAGCCUGACGGAGCAAUGCCGCGUGAGUGAAGAAGGCCUUCGGGUUGUAAAACUCUGUCCUAGACGAAGAGAGAGUAUUGUAGUAACUGACAAUACUAGGACGGUAGACUAGGAGGAAGCCCCGGCUAACUAUGUGCCAGCAGCCGCGGUAAAACAUAGGGGGCAAGCGUUGUCCGGAAUCACUGGGCGUAAAGGGCGCGCAGGCGGUAAAUUAAGUCAGGUGUGAAAGUUCGGGGCUCAACCCCGUGAUUGCACCUGAUACUGAUAAACUAGAGUGUUGGAGAGGUAAGUGGAAUUCCUAGUGUAGCGGUGGAAUGCGUAGAUAUUAGGAGGAACACCAGUGGCGAAGGCGACUUACUGGCCAAUAACUGACGCUGAGGCGCGAAAGCGUGGGGAGCAAACAGGAUUAGAUACCCCUGUAGUC